UACGGAGGGGGCUAGCGUUGUUCGGAAUUACUGGGCGUAAAGCGUACGUAGGCGGCUUUGUAAGUUAGAGGUGAAAGCCUGGAGCUCAACUCCAGAACUGCCUUUAAGACUGCAUCGCUUGAAUCCAGGAGAGGUGAGUGGAAUUCCGAGUGUAGAGGUGAAUUCGUAGAUAUUCGGAAGAACACCAGUGGCGAAGGCGGCUCACUGGACUGGUAUUGACGCUGAGGUACGAAAGCGUGGGGAGCAAACAGG
RNAcentral lists this ribosomal RNA (252 nucleotides) under uncultured bacterium. RNAcentral's name for it is "partial 16S ribosomal RNA". It matches the Rfam family "Bacterial small subunit ribosomal RNA", at positions 524 to 776 of the family's 1533-position model. The record is from RNAcentral.